AGACUGUAAGUUUUGAAUGCUUAUUUCUUCUAAAUGCAAAUUUUGUCAUUGUUUUGGAGAACAAAAAUGUCAAACUGGAUUGUAGUAAGUGAAAAUGAUCCUCCUGCUGUAAAAAACAGCAUUGACCAGCAUGAGUUCCCUUUCACUCACUGUCUACCAACCUGCAGUCGGUUCAGCACGAAACAUCAGGCUCACAGCAACAGAUUAAGAAGAAGAAUCCUGCAUCAAAAAAUGGCUUCAACUUGCAUGUGAGACGGAGUGAGAAGAGAAAAAGAGGAAUGAAGAUGGACUGUCUAAGAGUCAAGUUACACUGUCUAUUUUGCUAUAUGUGUGUAAUAAUUUGUAUUAUACUACGAGGCUGUUGAAUACGGAAGCCCUAAACGGCCAUGGAUUAUUAUUUUUUUUCUAUCUUGUUUUCUCGUGAUCACGACUUAUUUUCUCGUGAUCUUGAGAUAACAAAAGUUGUUUUCUCGUGAUCACGACUUAAUCUCUGGUCUAAAUUACACAAAUAUGCCAACAAGUGUCAGUAUAUUACUAAAUAUAACUGAUGAGGUGCGGUAAAUAUCCACUUUACUGUAUUAGUUCAUAUUGGCCCAGAUUGUACGAGUUUCGGACAGAGAGAGUCUUCGUGAUCGCUUUAUUUUGUGCAGUAUUGUGUGUGUUAAGUAAUUAAUUUAACUGUUAAUUAUGCUUGAAUAUGAUUAUUUUGCUUGAAAGUGUAUCUGUUAUCUUUACGUUCUGGCUGCUAGAUGCAUGACUCACAGUUUCACUACCGCAAUAGUUUGGUGUGAUACUAAACUUAUUGCUUAUUAAAACUAAUUUUGAUGUCACUGUAUAGUAUUCUGUUUGCACCUUAUUGUGUAUCUUUAAGACGCCAUUUUAAUCAUCGCAGUUUCAGUGUUCGUUUACCUCACUCACUCAAUGUAUAUUGAUAAGAAAUAGCCAAUAUAGUGUGCACGGAUCCACACUUUGGAAAUCUACCAGAAAUAAGAGAAUAUCCAGGGACUUUUGGCAUACUCUUUUCAA
This is a long non-coding RNA of Ctenopharyngodon idella (grass carp), 1026 nucleotides long. RefSeq lists it as uncharacterized. The transcript has 3 exons. NCBI's taxonomy places the organism in Eukaryota, Metazoa, Chordata, Actinopteri, Cypriniformes, Xenocyprididae. The record is from RefSeq and is a predicted model, not a curated record.